RNAcentral lists this unclassified non-coding RNA (401 nucleotides) under Hevea brasiliensis (rubber tree). The record is from RNAcentral. Lineage: Eukaryota; Viridiplantae; Streptophyta; Magnoliopsida; Malpighiales; Euphorbiaceae.
AGAAAAGCACAAAUCUGUCAAUUCUUAACAACCGCCAAUGCACUCACUCUAACAUCAGUUCCUCUCUUCGCCGUAAAAUUAUUGCAGCCAUGGAAGUACCGCUCGAAAAUGAAGGGAUCAAAGGUUCUCGCCGGACCGAGACUCUUUACGACGUGAUCCAUCGUAUGCUAUCAAUGAUCUUUUUUCCUGAUUCCGACAGUUCAGCACCGCUGCUGAAGCGGAUCAAGAACUCUUUAUCGGAGAAUGCUUGUCUUCUUAAGGAUGCUACUAAUAAUACUGGCCGGAAAGUUCUCCUCUGGGCUCGCCGUGGCAGUCCUCUGCGGGCACUUCUCGUAAUCUCUGUUGGGACUAUUGCUCUUCUUACCUUGACAGGAUUGCUUGUCUUUAUGCUUUUCUUUCUG